RNAcentral lists this ribosomal RNA (624 nucleotides) under uncultured Sebacina. Its description in RNAcentral is "eukaryotic LSU rRNA". The stretch from base 222 to 375 matches the Rfam family "5.8S ribosomal RNA". Lineage: Eukaryota; Fungi; Basidiomycota; Agaricomycetes; Sebacinales; Sebacinaceae. The record is from RNAcentral.
AGGAAGUAAAAGUCGUAACAAGGUUUCCGUAGGUGAACCUGCGGAAGGAUCAUUAGUGAUUAAACUGUUGCCCUCUGUGCUGGCUCUGCAAGUGCACGUCGGUGACUUUCAUUCCAAUACCCUUGUGAACCUUUGGCCUCUUGCUAGCUUCGGCUGGCAGAGGAUUCUACAUACAAACUCGCAUGUAAUGAAACUCUUGUUGUGCACAAGCACUACUAUACAACUUUCAACAACGGAUCUCUUGGCUCUCGCAUCGAUGAAGAACGCAGCGAAACGCGAUAAGUAAUGUGAAUUGCAGAAUUCAGUGAAUCAUCGAAUCUUUGAACGCACCUUGCACCCUUUGGCAUUCUGAAGGGUAUGCUCGUUUGAGUGUCAUUGUACUCUCACACUUCCGAUCUUGCAUUGGGAGCGGUGGACUUGGGUUUGCUGCCUUACCGUAGCUUACCUCAAAUGUGUUAGUGCAACUCUUGGUUGGACAUAGUACGGCGUGAUAAGUAUCUUCGCCGGUGCCUCGCAAUUGCGAGGGUGGCCGAUCGGGAUGUUGUGCUCCAAACCGUCUUCGGACAAUCUCUGACAACUUGACCUCAAAUCGAGUAAGACUACCCGCUGAACUUAAGCAUAUCA